AUUGCGUCGCCCCCACCCUGCACCCGUGUCCUGACAGGGCCGCGGGCCUUAGCGUGGGGGGCGGAAGUUGGCUUCCCGUGCCGUGUGUUUUUUGCGGCUAGCCUGAAACAUGGUUCCCUCGCCGCGGACGUCGCGACAAGUGGUGGUCGUCGAGAUUGUUCGCGAGUUGCGACGGCAAAGCUGCGUCGAGGGGAGCAUUUUGGACCCUGUGCGAGCGCGAUGAGUCCCUCCCCGAGGGGCAAUUCGAACACGAUUGCGACCCCAGGUCAGGC
This 272-nucleotide ribosomal RNA is filed under the name Cynanchum montevidense. RNAcentral's name for it is "partial 26S ribosomal RNA". The record is from RNAcentral. Lineage: Eukaryota; Viridiplantae; Streptophyta; Magnoliopsida; Gentianales; Apocynaceae.